GCUUCACACUGGGGCCAUAAAACAAUGAAUAAUGGACAAGAAGAAGCCUGUAAUGUGAAGAUUUUAGGAAAUUCAGGAUCAAAUUUAUUUUGGUUCUCAAGGUCAAGCUGCUUAUGUUGCCAAGAGGCCCCUGAGCAUCAGACAAACAGUGCAGGUCUGCAGACCAGAGUCACCAAUGGGCCACUGGUUUACAGUCUCUGA
RNAcentral lists this long non-coding RNA (201 nucleotides) under Pan paniscus (pygmy chimpanzee). Its description in RNAcentral is "lncRNA (ENSPPAG00000045394.1)". The record is from RNAcentral. Lineage: Eukaryota; Metazoa; Chordata; Mammalia; Primates; Hominidae.